UACGUAGGGGGCAAGCGUUGUCCGGAAUCAUUGGGCGUAAAGAGCGCGUAGGCGGCCCUGUAAGUCCGCUGUGAAAGUCAAGGGCUCAACCCUUGGAUGCCGGUGGAUACUGCAGGGCUAGAGUCCGGAAGAGGCGAGUGGAAUUCCUGGUGUAGCGGUGAAAUGCGCAGAUAUCAGGAGGUACACCGAUGGCGAAGGCAGCUCGCUGGGACGGUACUGACGCUGAGGCGCGAAAGCGUGGGGAGCAAACGGG
RNAcentral lists this ribosomal RNA (253 nucleotides) under uncultured bacterium. Its description in RNAcentral is "partial 16S ribosomal RNA". It matches the Rfam family "Bacterial small subunit ribosomal RNA", at positions 524 to 776 of the family's 1533-position model. The record is from RNAcentral.